This is a long non-coding RNA of Drosophila miranda, 2063 nucleotides long. RefSeq lists it as uncharacterized. The transcript has 4 exons. NCBI's taxonomy places the organism in Eukaryota, Metazoa, Arthropoda, Insecta, Diptera, Drosophilidae. The record is from RefSeq and is a predicted model, not a curated record.
UAAAAACGGUCACACUUUCGCUGAAUAUUCAAAUUUACGUCGCAAUUUGUUUGCUAACAAAAAAUAUUUGUAAUAAUGAUCUGUUCUGUGCGCGAGUAUACGCCAUUAUCAUUCAGACUCAGCUUCCUAAUAAUGGGUUGAGUCGGUGAGUGGAUUGAUAUGUUGUAUCGGCGUCCAUACGAGACUCAUCAGGUGGAAUGGGAACCGGCCGCCGACGCCGGGCGUUUGGCCAUGUCGAUGCAGGAGCUGGCUUUUGACCUGGAUGUUUUCCUCGUACGACACAGAUGAAAGAACACGUGGAUCUCAAUGAAGAGCGCACCUGCAGACCUGGAAUUCAACACGGCAGCAAAAUGCUCACCUUGUACAGCCCCUUCUGGAUGUUAAACAAAACGUGAGAUUUCACCUACAAAAAAGACUCCAAAAAGCAAUGAACCCAAAGUUCUUACCUUCCGCGAUAAGCUAUUUUUCGACAAGAUGAAAGCUGCUACCAUGGGGACUGGAGCAAGAAGAUUCCCCUUGAAGUGGCUUGUUCCUGGAGUCUAGGAGCUGAAUCACCUGCUAAAGCUGGAGACAGCGGACAUUACCGCUAAAGAAGGGUUGCUGGACUGCUGUGACCAAAUUCUGACCUCCAGAUUCUUGCGUUUGACAAAAACAAACAGAAAACUGUCCUGCGACGUGACGAAAUUGGUUAGGUCGUCAUACAAGACGGCACCAAGAUCUUCUUCCAGGAAGGCCUGCAACGUGUGUUGCUCUUGAUCCAAGUCUAGUCGAUGGUCAAACGUACUGCCUCCGCAUAGCAUCGAUCUGUGCAUUCAUUGCGCUUUAAGGAGAUGACUGUACACCACACCGACGCUCUGAAGGCCGACUAUCUGGUACACAAAGGUUUUGACGAUAUCCUUUAAUCAGGUCAACAAUCCGAUCGAUUUUAACUGAAUGUUACUAAACUAGUCCACUCAUAGAAAUCUAAAACGCGGCUUCUUAGGGUGUCGAAUAAGUCAUCGCCAUUCUAGAAUCUGCUGCAUAUAAAAAUAAAUCGUGUCCAGGUGCACAGACCAAAGUCUACAAAGUCUUGUGCUGCUUUUAGAGUCAUUACUUGUUCGCCUUCUUUAUUUGGUUGAUUCGGGCUAAUGACUGGGCAACUGUUUAACUUCAAACUAUGGGAUCGCACUGAAGUCUACCGACUAUCCGCAGCACUCAUACUAUCAAGCAACUAGUUGCUAUCUUAUAUCUUCAUGAUGCCCAACCUAGGCUCAUCCGCCCGCGCCAGUUCGUAACGGACGAAAGACGUAACCACCGGCGAUAGGAGCUUGGGAUCCAGCUUGUCAUCAGGUCGUUGCUUGAGGAUGUAGCUGUAAUGAUUAAGCCCAUCACCACAUACCAAUCGAAGGACAGAUCAAGGAUGCUGAAUCCUGAACUCCUCCUUGGGAACUUAUGCUGGUCGAGAGCAUGCUCAGGGGUGCACUGAACACACACGAGAUGAACAUUCCCGGCAUGCUCCGCAGAUGGCCGACAGAGUCCUGGACGAAAUUUGGCAUUAUUUUGUCCUGUUUGGACACUUGGCCCGACUGGGUGGGAUAACAAUCGUGGAAGCAGGAGUGGAUUACGAUGCACGUGAAUCUGUUGAAAGCCGUGGGCGAUAUUCUUGUUGUAGAAAACAGGAAUAAUCACGUACAUUAAGGCACCACCGCCACCGUGCAGCCCAAGUUAAAGAAUGGUCAUAAUGGAAAUGGUCGAGAGCCGACUAGCCACAAGGAAAGUGUCAAUCGGUAUCCUGUUAAUUCUGUUCGUUAUCACCUGAAGAAACCUGGAAUUCAUAUUGCGGUUAUUUCAUUCAUUCAGAUAAGAAUGUUUCGGUUAUUCAUAGAGCCGAGAAUUUUCAUCCACGUGGAGCCAAAUAUUAUCAAACUUUCCCAAUCUUUCGAAAAAUGCAAAAUAUUUUUAGUUUAAGAGAUGAGAAAUGAGAGCAUUCAGAGUUCUAAUUUUAUUUUUUAGUAAGAAACGAUUUGGUCAAUUUUUAUUUACAUACUGCAUAUUUCAGGUGGAAUAAAAAGAAAACUAUGCAA